RNAcentral lists this ribosomal RNA (468 nucleotides) under uncultured bacterium. RNAcentral describes it as "partial 16S ribosomal RNA". It matches the Rfam family "Bacterial small subunit ribosomal RNA", at positions 28 to 507 of the family's 1533-position model. The record is from RNAcentral.
GACGAACGCUGGCGGCGUGCUUAACACAUGCAAGUCGAACGGAAAGGCCCUGCUUUUGUGGGGUGCUCGAGUGGCGAACGGGUGAGUAACACGUGAGUAACCUGCCCUUGACUUUGGGAUAACUUCAGGAAACUGGGGCUAAUACCGGAUAGGAGCUCCUGCUGCAUGGUGGGGGUUGGAAAGUUUCGGCGGUUGGGGAUGGACUCGCGGCUUAUCAGCUUGUUGGUGGGGUAGUGGCUGACCAAGGCUUUGACGGGUAGCCGGCCUGGGAGGGUGACCGGCCACAUGGGGACUGAGAUACGGCCCAGACUCCUACGGGAGGCAGCAGUGGGGAAUAUUGCACAAUGGGCGGAAGCCUGAUGCAGCAACGCCGCGUGCGGGAUGACGGCCUUCGGGUUGUAAACCGCUUUCGCCUGUGACGAAGCGUGAGUGACGGUAAUGGGUAAAGAAGCACCGGCUAACUACGUG